GCUUAGCCCUAAACCUAGGUAGAGCCCAUACAACUCUACCCGCCAGAGAACUACAAGUGAAAAACUAGAAACUCCAAGGACUUGGCGGUGCUCCACAUCAACCUAGAGGAGCCUGUCCUAUAAUCGAUAUUCCACGUUAAACCUUACCACUUCUUGCCCAUCAGCCUAUAUACCGCCGUCGCCAGCCUACCUCAUGAGAGCCUAACAGUAGGCAAAACAGUUAACAACUAAAACGUCAGGUCAAGGUGUAGCUUAUGAAGUGGAAGAGAUGGGCUACAUUUUCUGCCACAGAAAACACGAACGGCACAAUGAAACUAGUGCCCAAAGGCGGAUUUAGCAGUAAAAUACAUAAGAGACUGUAUCUUAAGCCUGCUCUGGAGCGCGC
RNAcentral lists this ribosomal RNA (385 nucleotides) under Scincus albifasciatus laterimaculatus. RNAcentral describes it as "partial 12S ribosomal RNA". It matches the Rfam family "Bacterial small subunit ribosomal RNA", at positions 794 to 1384 of the family's 1533-position model. The record is from RNAcentral. Lineage: Eukaryota; Metazoa; Chordata; Lepidosauria; Squamata; Scincidae.